UAUGGCCAUAUCAUGUUGCAAUACCGGUUCUCGUCCAAUCACGGAAGUUAAGCAUCGUUGAGCUUGAUCAGUAUCUAGAUGAGUGACUGCUUUGUAAUACCAUGUAAUG
Molecule: non-coding RNA, 109 nt
Organism: Acanthosepion pharaonis
Lineage: Eukaryota; Metazoa; Mollusca; Cephalopoda; Sepiida; Sepiidae
Source: the annotation of a GenBank genome assembly